CUUUUCUUUUUGAUUUUUAUUUUCAACUUAAAAAAGUGUGCAAAUUUUCUUAAAUAUAUUUCCAAUUUUAUCAUGCUAAUUUGUUUAUUUCUUUAUUUGUUUCUUUAAUCAUUUACUUAUUUGUUUAUUUUAUUUUAUUUUUUUUUAUUUGGGGUGAACUAAAUGGCUAAUAUCAUUAUAAGACAUUAUUUUUUUUAUUUUUAGAUAUUAAUUUUCAUAUUCUAUUUUGUAUUCACUUUUAAGUAUUACUUUAUAUAACUUUUAUAAAAUGUGAUUUUUUAAUUUUCAUACAUGGAAAAUAGUUUAUAUUGAUUUUUACAUAAAGUCUAAUAUAUAUAUAUAUAUAUAUAUGCUUUUUACAUGUUUUUCUUUUUUUUCCCCUUUUUUGAAAUUUACCUUUAUUUGUUCACUUCAAGUAUACCAUCUUUUUUAUUUUUUAAUAAACCAUUUUAUAUGUUAAAGGUCUAUUUGUUUGUACUUUUAAAUUAUAUGAUUAUAUAUAAGCUGUUUUAUUUUGCUAAACUAUUUUUUUUUUUUUUUUUUGUUAUAUAUAAACUAAGAACAAAUGAGCAACAUUCAUACGUUAGCAGAGUAUAGGGAUGACGGUGGAGAAAAUUUACCAUUCAAUAGAAGUAAACAUAUGCACAUAUACAUAUGCAUAUUUACAUAUACAUAUGUACCUACAUAUAUAUAUAUAUAUUAAUUUUUUUUUUUUUUUUUUUUCCCUUAUUUUUCUCUUAUUUUUAUAAGCAUCAGGGUAUUAUGAAUCACAGAGCAGUUUCAUUCAAAGAUCAAAGCCAAUCGAUGUAGUUCAAUUUAUUUUUCCACACUUUACAUGGAAAAGUUUUAUCAUUAUUGUUUCAAUUGUACAAAUAAUUAUUUUUAUUGUAUCAGUUAGCAUUAAACCUAGUGGAUUUUUAAUGCCAUCAAGGGAACUGUUAACAUACUUAGGUGCAAAUAUUGGUGAAAAAAUAAAAGCAGGACAAAUUCAUAGACUAAUAUUACCAAUUUUUUUACAUGCAAAUUUUGUUCACGUAUUCUUUAAUGUAUUCUUUCAACUAAGAGUUGGAUUUACACUUGAAAAAAAUUAUGGAAUCCCACAUGUUAUACUUCUAUACUUUUUAACUGGUAUAUAUGGAAAUAUUUUAUCGUCAGCUAUUACAUAUUGUACCUUUAAAGUUGGUGCAAGUACAUCAGGUAUGGGGUUGUUAGGUAUAGUUUGUGCUGAGUUAAUGUUACUUUGGCAUAUCAUUAGACAUAGGGAAAGGGUGUUAUUUAAUAUAAUAUUUUUCACUACAAUAUCCAUUUUUUAUUAUUUUACUUUCAAUGGAUCAUCUGUUGAUCACGUUGGUCAUUUGGGAGGUUUACUUUCAGGUAUUGUGUAAAUUGUAAAAAAAAAUGCACCUUUUUAUAUGUGAUUAUGUAUAUCUAUGUACAUACACAC
This 1444-nucleotide long non-coding RNA is filed under the name Piliocolobus tephrosceles (Ugandan red Colobus). RNAcentral's name for it is "lncRNA (ENSPTEG00000038517.1)". Lineage: Eukaryota; Metazoa; Chordata; Mammalia; Primates; Cercopithecidae. The record is from RNAcentral.